GCAAACAAAGCCCAAGACGAGUG
Molecule: non-coding RNA, 23 nt
Filed under: Arabidopsis thaliana (thale cress)
Lineage: Eukaryota; Viridiplantae; Streptophyta; Magnoliopsida; Brassicales; Brassicaceae
Source: RNAcentral